Molecule: ribosomal RNA, 1859 nt
Filed under: human oral metagenome
Description: bacterial LSU rRNA
Rfam family: Bacterial large subunit ribosomal RNA
Source: RNAcentral
GGAGGUUGGCUUAGAAGCAGCCAUCCUUGAAAGAGUGCGUAAUAGCUCACUGGUUAAGUGGUGAUGCGCCGAUAAUGUAGUGGGGCUUUUUAAGUACACCGCCGAAACCGCGGCAACACACAUUUUUGGUGUGUGUUGGGUAGGGGAGCGUCGUGCACGCUGGGAAGCUGUCACGGAAGUGGUGGUGGAGUGUGUGCGAGUGAGAAUGCAGGCAUGAGUAGCGAAAAACAUGUGGAAAACGUGUUCGCCGGAUGACUAAGGGUUCCUGGGUGAAGCUAAUCUUCCCAGGGUGAGUCGGGACCUAAGGCGAGGCCGACAGGCGUAGUCGAUGGAUAACGGGUUGAUAGUCCCGUACCCGUGUAUGCGCGACAAGUGGUGACUCGGUUGUACUAACCACCCACCACCAUUGAUGUUCACACGUUGUGUGUUUGUUGGUGUGUGGUGCGUGGGAUCUUGAUCGUUGGUAGCCAAGCGAUGGGGUGACACAGAUUGGUAGUCAAGGCCACUUAUUGGAUUGUGGUGUAAGCGUGUGGCCCGUAGGAUAGGUAAAUCCGUUCUGCAUAUAGGGUGAGGCGUGAUGCGUACCCAGAUUGUUGGGGAUGUUUGAUGUGCCUGUGCUGUCGAGAAAAGCCUCUAGCGAUGUGUGUGCACGGCCCGUACCGGAAACCGACACAGGUGGUCUGGUUGAGGAUACUAAGGCGUUCGGGUGAACUAUGGUUAAGGAACUCGGCAAAAUGCCCCCGUAACUUCGGGAGAAGGGGGGCCAUGUGCGGCAAUCACCCUGUGCGGUGUGCGUUGUGUGUGGCCGCAGAGAAGUGAGGGAAGCGACUGUUUAUUAAAAACACAGGUCCGUGCGAAGACGUUGCAAGUCGAGGUAUACGGACUGACGCCUGCCCGGUGCUGGAAGGUUAAGAGGACUCGUGAGCAUGCCUUUUGUGGUGUGUGAGGCGGGUAAUUGAAGCCCCAGUAAACGGCGGUGGUAACUAUAACCAUCCUAAGGUAGCGAAAUUCCUUGUCGGGUAAGUUCCGACCUGCACGAAUGGCGUAACGACUUCCCUGCUGUCUCAACCAUAGGCCCGGUGAAAUUGCAGUACGAGUAAAGAUGCUCGUUUCGCGCGGCAGGACGAAAAGACCCCGGGACCUUUACUAUAGCUUGGUAUUGGUGUGUGCUGCAGCUUGUGUAGGAUAGGUGGGAGACGUGGAAGCAUUCACGCUAGUGGGUGUGGAGUCAUUGGUGAAAUACCACUCUGGUUGUUGUGUGCAUCUAACUGUGGGCCCUGAUCGGGUUUUGGGACAGUGCCUGGUGGGUAGUUUAACUGGGGCGGUUGCCUCCUAAAUGGUAACGGAGGCGCCCAAAGGUUCCCUCGGCUUGGUUGGUAAUCAGGUUUGUAGAGUGUAAGUGCAGUAAGGGAGCUUGACUGUGACACUGACGGGUGGAGCAGGUGCGAAAGCAGGGACUAGUGAUCCGGCAUCAACGUGUGGGUGUGGUGUCGCUCAACGGAUAAAAGGUACCCCGGGGAUAACAGGCUGAUCUUCCCCAAGAGUUCAUAUCGACGGGAUGGUUUGGCACCUCGAUGUCGGCUCGUCGCAUCCUGGGGCUGGAGUAGGUCCCAAGGGUUGGGCUGUUCGCCCAUUAAAGCGGCACGCGAGCUGGGUUUAGAACGUCGUGAGACAGUUCGGUCUCUAUCCGCCGCGCGCGUGGAAACUUGAACAAGGCUGUCCCUAGUACGAGAGGACCGGGAUGGACGUACCUCUAGUGUGCCAGUUGUCACGCCGGUGGCAUGGCUGGUUGGCUAUGUGCGGGAGGGAUAACCGCUGAAAGCAUCUAAGCGGGAAGCCUGUUGUGAGAUGAGGUUUCU